RNAcentral lists this ribosomal RNA (482 nucleotides) under uncultured bacterium. Its description in RNAcentral is "SSU rRNA". It matches the Rfam family "Bacterial small subunit ribosomal RNA", at positions 26 to 523 of the family's 1533-position model. The record is from RNAcentral.
AGGAUGAACGCUGGCGGCGUGCCUAACACAUGCAAGUCGAACGUCCUGUCUCGCAAGAGGCAGGGAGUGGCGGACGGGUGAGUACCACGUGGGUGAUCUACCGUGAGGUGAGGAAUACCGGCGAGAAAUCGCCGACAAGACCGCAUAGCCUCGGUGCAAGCCGAGGAAAGCUUUCUCGAGAGAGGGAGCGCCACACGAGGAGCCUGCGCCCGAUUAGCUAGCUGGUGGAGUAACGGUUCACCAGGGCGACGAUCGGUAGCUGGUCUGAGAGGACGAUCAGCCACACUGGGAUUGAGAACGGCCCAGACUCCUACGGGGGGCAGCAGUGAGGAAUUUUCGUCAAUGGGGCAACCCUGAACGAGCAACGCCGCGUGCAGGAAGAAGGUUUUCGGAUCGUAAACUGUCUUUUCUCGGGGAAGAGGAACGGACGGUACCCGAGGAAUCGACGCCCCGGCUAACUACGUCGCCAGCAGCCGCGGUAA